GACGGAGGAUGCAAGUGUUAUCCGGAAUCACUGGGCGUAAAGCGUCUGUAGGUGGUUCGAAAAGUCCACUGUUAAAGAUUGAGGCUUAACUUCAAAAAUGCCGUGGAAACUUUCAAACUAGAGUAUGGUAGGGGUAGAGGGAAUUUCCAGUGGAGCGGUGAAAUGCGUAGAUAUUGGAAAGACCACCGAUGGCGAAGGCACUCUACCGGGCCAUUACUGACACUGAGAGACGAAAGCUAGGGGAGCAAAUGGG
This 253-nucleotide ribosomal RNA is filed under the name uncultured bacterium. RNAcentral describes it as "partial 16S ribosomal RNA". It matches the Rfam family "Bacterial small subunit ribosomal RNA", at positions 524 to 776 of the family's 1533-position model. The record is from RNAcentral.